AACAUCAAUCCCCUUUGUCUCUCUCACCUUCUCUCUCUCUCGGGCGACUCAAGAACAUCAUCCACCUUUGUCUCUCACAUCUCACACUUGAUUCCAAAUGUUGAGCAAGUAAAGGGUGUAGCAAUAUCAGUCCCCAUCAGUACCAUCUACCGUCGGAUUUCAUAUAGAUUUGUAGGCGGGUAUGUUCAACAGUGAUGAUUUGGGUUCUGAUUUGUGACUGCAGGGUUUGAUAAGUGGAGAUUCCGGUGGUGGAAGCUUUGAAGAUCGACAGUGACAAAGGCGGUUAGGGUUCCGGCCACGAAACCGACUUUCUGGGGUUUAAUCGUUGAUGUUCAUCAUUCGAUUUGCUCUUUGCUUUGGAGAUACUGUUCAACAAAUUAUGGCGAUUUCAUCAAUGUGCGAGCGAAGGAGAUGCUUCAACUCUGUUUCAUAACGACAGAGAGUUCGGCGAUCAGAGAUAAUGUUAUGAUGGGAACAUCAUCUGAGGUAUAGUUAUAAAAUAUACACAUGAACUGAAAGGGGGUGUCUGGAUUUGUGUUAUGGAAGUGAUUAUCUAUAUUUCAGCAAGCAUAUUCUGACAAUUAGAUAUAAGCAUAUGGGUUGUGGGUAGUGUACAUAAUUAGUAAAUAGUAAUUUAUGAUAAAACUUAACAGUGAGCCAUUUUGAACCGUUAUCGUUUCUCCCGAUUUGCUGCCCCAAACACAGAAUUAUCUGUCUAAACAGGCUAGCGAGUCAACCCGUUUAAAUUAUCUGUCUAAACGGGUAGCUUUCGAUUUGAGAAGUUUGGAAAUAGGUGGCUUCGUGGCUGCAGAUGCCACUUCCUUCUGGUCUGAUUUCAGUUUCAGAUUUGCUAAGGUUUGUUGCUGAGAUUAAGGCCUGCAAAAUGAAGGAAAAAGCUUGGGAAUAAGUGUCUUUAUUAACGUUUUGGAGGCUAUGGCUCAAUCGGAAUGACAAGGUAUAUAGAGGGGUUAUGCCUCCCCUCAAAAGAUGAUAGGUGAGAUUAAGGAAACUUCGUACUCAUGGAUUCAAAAUAGUAGGGGUGUUCAAAACUAUUCGUAUCCGAAAAUCCGAUCCGAAAUAUCCGAUAUCCGAAUCCGAAAU
Molecule: long non-coding RNA, 1101 nt
Filed under: Helianthus annuus (common sunflower)
Lineage: Eukaryota; Viridiplantae; Streptophyta; Magnoliopsida; Asterales; Asteraceae
Source: RNAcentral